AAAAAAAGGAGUACUUGUGGCACCUUGGAGACUAACAGGUUUGUUUGGGCAUGAGCUUUCGUGAGCUACAGCUCACUUCAUCGGAUGCAUUCAGAUGAAGUGAACUGUAGCUCGCGAGGGCUUGUGCUCGAAUGGAUUUGUUGGUCUCUGCGGUGCCUCAAGUACUCCUUUUCUUUUUUCUAGCUGUAUGUU
Molecule: long non-coding RNA, 192 nt
Organism: Dermochelys coriacea (leatherback sea turtle)
Lineage: Eukaryota; Metazoa; Chordata; Testudines; Dermochelyidae
Exons: 3
Source: RefSeq, a predicted model, not a curated record